This 691-nucleotide unclassified non-coding RNA is filed under the name Hevea brasiliensis (rubber tree). The record is from RNAcentral. Lineage: Eukaryota; Viridiplantae; Streptophyta; Magnoliopsida; Malpighiales; Euphorbiaceae.
GUUCCCAUCACAUUACUGCUGUCCCUGCUUCUGAAUCAGAGAUUGAAGCUGAAGCAAAUGCUGUUAGAGCUGUUUCUGAGUCAAUCUGCCCACUAAAAAUUACCCUAGACAGAGUGGUUCUGACAUCAACUGGGGUGUUAGUAGGUUGUUGGCAGGUGGACUCUGGAAGUGAUCCAGUAACUAUCAGACAAAAAUUGAGAAAUGCUCUUCCACAUGCACCUGCGAAGCAACUUUAUGAUGCUGUAAUGCUUCAUACCUCAUUUGCCAGACUUCUUGGACACCCUAGUAGUUGGCCUGAGGCAAUUGUCGGUGAGCUUUGGUACGUUGAGGAAUAUGACAUAUUAGCUCUUGCGUUGGAUGGGAGAAUGAAAGUCCGCAAGUUCCAGCUUGGCUGUUCGAAAGUGUGAAUCAAUCUAUGAGAAUGGAGUAUUGAACCUUUCACCACUUGCUCCUGUAUGGCAAAGACAUUAACGUAUCGAUGGGGAUCAUACGAAUUCUGAUGUGCAGAAAUAUUCACUUCCACUAUAUAUACAAAGGAGCGCUAAAAGUUGGGAUAUUACAAUGUAUAGUUUGCUAUUCGAACAUUUUCUGCAUGAUAUUUUAAAUUUAUACUAUAAGUUUGUUAAAAGUAUGUGGUUAACAUUUUCUAAUGUGUCAAGUCUUUGGUGUAGAAGUAAAGUUGGUGUCAAAU